AUUGAACGCUAGCGGAAUGCUUUACACAUGCAAGUCGAACGGCAGCGCGGGUGCUUGCACCUGGCGGCGAGUGGCGAACGGGUGAGUAAUGUAUCGGAACGUGCCCAGUAGCGGGGGAUAACUACGCGAAAGCGUAGCUAAUACCGCAUACGCCCUUCGGGGGAAAGGUGGGGAUUCUUCGGAACCUGUCACUAUUGGAGCGGCCGAUAUCGGAUUAGCUAGUUGGUGGGGUAAAGGCCUACCAAGGCGACGAUCCGUAGCUGGUUUGAGAGGACGACCAGCCACACUGGGACUGAGACACGGCCCAGACUCCUACGGGAGGCAGCAGUGGGGAAUUUUGGACAAUGGGGGAAACCCUGAUCCAGCCAUUUCGCGUGUGCGAUGAAGGCCUUCGGGUUGUAAAGCACUUUUNNCGGGGAAGAAAAGUGCCGGGUUAAUACCCUGGCGCGCUGAC
RNAcentral lists this ribosomal RNA (454 nucleotides) under uncultured Burkholderiales bacterium. RNAcentral's name for it is "bacterial SSU rRNA". It matches the Rfam family "Bacterial small subunit ribosomal RNA", at positions 30 to 473 of the family's 1533-position model. Lineage: Bacteria; Pseudomonadati; Pseudomonadota; Betaproteobacteria; Burkholderiales. The record is from RNAcentral.